GGGGAUAACCGGGAGAAAUCCCGACUAAUACCGCGUAACGCCGCGGGGCUGCAUGGCCCCGCGGCCAAAGGAAGCGAUUCCGGCGGGGGAUGGGCAUGCGGCGCAUUAGCUAGUCGGCGGGGUAACGGCCCACCGAGGCGACGAUGCGUAGGGGUUCUGAGUGGAAGGUCCCCCACACUGGUACUGAGACACGGACCAGACUCCUACGGGAGGCAGCAGUGAGGAAUAUUGGUCAAUGGGCGGGAGCUUGAACCAGCCAAGUCGCGUGAGGGAAGACGGUCCUACGGAUUGUAAACCUCUUUUGCCGGGGAGCAACGGGGUCCUUGCGAGGGUCUGAUGAGAGUACCCGGAGAAAAAGCAUCGGCUAACUCCGUGCCAGCAGCCGCGGUAAUACGGAGGAUGCGAGCGUUAUCCGGAUUUAUUGGGUUUAAAGGGUGCGUAGGCGGGCUGUUAAGUCAGCGGUCAAAUGUCGGGGCUCAACCCCGGCCUGCCGUUGAAACUGGCGGCCUCGAGUGGGCGAGAAGUAUGCGGAAUGCGUGGUGUAGCGGUGAAAUGCAUAGAUAUCACGCAGAACUCCGAUUGCGAAGGCAGCAUACCGGCGCCCGACUGACGCUGAGGCACGAAAGCGUGGGUAUCGAACAGGAUUAGAUACCCUGGUAGUCCACGCAGUAAAACGAUGAAUGCUAGCUG
RNAcentral lists this ribosomal RNA (690 nucleotides) under uncultured bacterium. RNAcentral's name for it is "bacterial SSU rRNA". It matches the Rfam family "Bacterial small subunit ribosomal RNA", at positions 139 to 822 of the family's 1533-position model. The record is from RNAcentral.